AAUGAACGCUGGCGGCGUGCCUAACACAUGCAAGUCGGAUGUGCCGCAAGGUGCAUGGCAGACGGGUGAGUAACGCGUGGGGAAUCUACCUUUUUGUGGGGAAUAACGUUCCGAAAGGAAUGGUAAAUACCGCAUGUGACCACUUGUUGGAAUAUGGGUGGUGAAAGCCGGGGACCGCAAGGCCUGGCGCAAGAAGAGGAUCCUGCGUCUGAUUAGCUAGUUGGUGAGGUAACGGCCCACCAAGGCAACGAUCAGUAGCCGGCCUGAGAGGGUGAUCGGCCACACUGGAACUGAGACACGGUCCAGACUCCUACGGGUGGCAG
RNAcentral lists this ribosomal RNA (323 nucleotides) under uncultured Acidobacteriota bacterium. RNAcentral describes it as "bacterial SSU rRNA". It matches the Rfam family "Bacterial small subunit ribosomal RNA", at positions 29 to 351 of the family's 1533-position model. Lineage: Bacteria; Pseudomonadati; Acidobacteriota. The record is from RNAcentral.